RNAcentral lists this long non-coding RNA (414 nucleotides) under Chinchilla lanigera (long-tailed chinchilla). Its description in RNAcentral is "lncRNA (ENSCLAG00000027618.1)". The record is from RNAcentral. Lineage: Eukaryota; Metazoa; Chordata; Mammalia; Rodentia; Chinchillidae.
AUAUGUUUAAUGAUUUAUCAAAGAAUUAAAAGAUUACCAAGUACUCUUCAAUGGAUGUUCAUUUGAUUCUAGUAACCCUCUGUGAAGAAUGCAGAUUGAGCUCUUUUAAAAAAGCAUCAGAAAUCAAACUCAAAUGCAAGUGUUUGUCUAUGACCAUCCAAGUGAUAAAAGUGGCUCAUUGUGAAAGACUGAAGCUGACCCCUGAACUUCUCUGGCUUCCUAUCUCUGGUGUGAGUGUUCUGUCUCCUACACCCUGGCACUGUGACACCAUGGACAAUGCAUAUCCCAUUCAAGUGGACCUCACCAGAGGUCAUGUGGAUUGGGUCACCUGAUCUUGGACUCUCAGUCAAAAAAACUGUGAGCUAAAUAAACAUCUCUUUUAGGACACACAAAGCAUCAUGUGUUUUGUCAUAG